AUUCCAGCUCCAAUAGCGAAUACUAAUUCUGCUGCAGUUAAAAAGCUCGUAGUUGAACUUCUGGUAGGACAGAUCCGGCCUUUGGAUGAAUGUCCAUUGUAUGCUGUGUGUCUUGUCUGGCCAUCCUUUAUGUCUUUUAGGCGUAAUCUUUCACUGUAAAAAAAUUAGGGUGUUUCAAGCAAAAGUUAUUUGGAAUAUAUUAGUAUGGGAUGAUAAGAUAGGCUCUUGAGUGCUACUUUGUUGGUUUAUACACUUAGAGAAUGAUUAACAGGGACAGUUUGAGGAUAUUCGUAUGAACAUGUCAGAGGUGAAAUCCUUGGAUUUUGAUCAGACGAACUACUGCGAAAGCAUUUAUCAAGGAUGUUUUCAUCA
Molecule: ribosomal RNA, 372 nt
Filed under: Thraustochytriidae sp.
Lineage: Eukaryota; Bigyra; Thraustochytrida; Thraustochytriidae
Description: Thraustochytriaceae sp. partial small subunit ribosomal RNA
Rfam family: Eukaryotic small subunit ribosomal RNA
Source: RNAcentral